RNAcentral lists this ribosomal RNA (774 nucleotides) under uncultured Neocallimastigales. RNAcentral describes it as "partial large subunit ribosomal RNA". It matches the Rfam family "Eukaryotic large subunit ribosomal RNA", at positions 22 to 646 of the family's 3401-position model. The record is from RNAcentral. Lineage: Eukaryota; Fungi; Neocallimastigomycota; Neocallimastigomycetes; Neocallimastigales.
CAUAGCGACUAUCGUGGCAUAUCAAUAAGCGGAGGAAAAGAAACUAACAAGGAUUCCCUUAGUAACGGCGAGUGAAGCGGGAAGAGCUCAAAUUUGAAAUCUUCAAGGUUUUACCUUGACGAAUUGUAGUUUAAAGAAGUGUUUUCUGUUGGAGUUUUGGUAGAAGUUCUUUGGAAUAGGACAUCAUAGAGGGUGAGAAUCCCGUAUUUGACCAUUAUUUCCAGCUGUGUGAUACACUUUCAAAGAGUCGGAUUGUUUGGGAAUGCAGUCCAAAAUGGGUGGUAAAUUUCAUCUAAAGCUAAAUAUUGGCGAGAGACCGAUAGCGAACAAGUACCGUGAGGGAGAGAUGAAAAGAACUUUGAAAAGAGAGUUAAACAGUACUGUGAAAUUGUCAAAAGGGAAGCGUUUGACACCAGUGUUGUUUUCUCGAAAAUCAAUUAAAAAUGAUGGGAUUUUGUGUUGUAUUGACUUUAUCAGCUUUCUGCACUUUUUUCCUAUCUUUUUUAAUGCACUUUUCGUUUAACAAGUCAACAUCAAUUUCUUUUGUUGUAAAAGAGUCAUUGGAAGGUGCUUUCUUUUCGGAGAAAGUGUUUAUAGCCUUUGACUUCUGCAAUCGGAGAGAUUGAGGUCUGCAGCGUAGAUCCUUCGGGGUUAGAUACAUUUGUGCUAAGUUAUAGCCUUUCAUAGACAACUUGUUGACUAUGAUCAGUCAUGUAGCUUACUCGCUUAUGCUAUUUUACCUACGCUUAGGAUGUUGACGAGACUGUCGAUCUC